This 487-nucleotide ribosomal RNA is filed under the name uncultured bacterium. Its description in RNAcentral is "bacterial SSU rRNA". It matches the Rfam family "Bacterial small subunit ribosomal RNA", at positions 28 to 526 of the family's 1533-position model. The record is from RNAcentral.
GACGAACGCUGGCGGCGUGCUUAACACAUGCAAGUCGAGCGGUAAGGCUCCUUCGGGGGUACACGAGCGGCGAACGGGUGAGUAACACGUGAGUAAUCUGCCCUUGGCUCUGGGAUAAGCACUCGAAAGGGUGUCUAAUACCGGAUAUGACGCAGUCCUGCAUGGGAUCUGUGUGGAAAGUUUUUUCGGCCAGGGAUGUGCUCGCGGCCUAUCAGCUUGUUGGUGGGGUAAUGGCCUACCAAGGCUUUGACGGGUAGCCGGCCUGAGAGGGUGACCGGUCACACUGGGACUGAGACACGGCCCAGACUCCUACGGGAGGCAGCAGUGGGGAAUAUUGGACAAUGGGCGGAAGCCUGAUCCAGCAACGCCGCGUGAGGGAUGACGGCCUUCGGGUUGUAAACCUCUUUCAGUACCGACGAAGCGAGAGUGACGGUAGGUACAGAAGAAGCACCGGCCAACUACGUGCCAGCCGCCGCCGCCGUAAAAC